This is a long non-coding RNA of Corvus hawaiiensis (hawaiian crow), 555 nucleotides long. RefSeq lists it as uncharacterized. The record is from RefSeq and is a predicted model, not a curated record. The transcript has 3 exons. Lineage: Eukaryota; Metazoa; Chordata; Aves; Passeriformes; Corvidae.
GUCAGCCCGGGGCCGCGCUGCCAGCGCCACCGCCCCCCGCCGGCCCCGGGUGAAGUUGGCGGCGGACGGCGGGACCCUUGCCGGCAGCGGAGCCCGCCCGGACCCGCGGCGCCCACAACUUUCCUCGCCGCCCUCCGCCGGAGCGACCCCCGGGAACGGGCGGCGCCGCCGCCGACCAGGCUUGCCAGAAGAUUCUCUGGGAUGGAGUUUUACAUUUAUCAAAAUACUACUAAUUUCAUGAGAUAGGGACUCCAUCCUGGAACAGGGGAAGAGAGUGAGGAACCCUGAGGAAGAUGCAGCAGAGAAAACAUGAUGAAGUCUUCCACAGCCCCCAUUCCCCAUCCCUCAGUACUGCUCAUGAGGAAGGAGGUAGAGAAAAUCAGGAGUAAAAUUAAGUCCGGGAAGAGGGGAGGUAUGAGGGGAAGGUAUAUUAAGAUUGCAGGUUCUUUUCUCAUAAUCCUGCUCUGAUGUGUUUUGUAGUAAAUUAAACUGAUUUCCCCAAAUCAAGUCUGCUUUGUCUCUUGCAGUAAUUGUUGAGUGAUUCCUCCCUGUCCU